This 450-nucleotide ribosomal RNA is filed under the name uncultured bacterium. Its description in RNAcentral is "bacterial SSU rRNA". It matches the Rfam family "Bacterial small subunit ribosomal RNA", at positions 328 to 793 of the family's 1533-position model. The record is from RNAcentral.
CUCUGUGACUCCUACGGGAGGCAGCAGUGGGGAAUAUUGCACAAUGGGCGCAAGCCUGAUGCAGCAACGCCGUGUGAGUGAAGAAGGUUUUCGGAUCGUAAAACUCUGUCCUAAGGGAAGAAACAAAUGACGGUACCUUAGGAGGAAGCCCCGGCUAACUACGUGCCAGCAGCCGCGGUAAUACGUAGGGGGCAAGCGUUAUCCGGAAUCACUGGGCGUAAAGGGUGCGUAGGCGGCUUAGCAAGCCAGGGGUGAAAGGCAUUGGCUCAACCAAUGUAAGCCUUUGGAACUGUUAAGCUUGAGUGCAGGAGAGGUAAGUGGAAUUCCUAGUGUAGAGGUGAAAUUCGUAGAUAUUAGGAGGAACACCAGUGGCGAAGGCGACUUACUGGACUGUAACUGACGCUGAUGCACGAAAGCGUGGGUAGCGAACAGGAUUAGAUACCCUGGUAG